RNA transcript from Dicentrarchus labrax (European seabass), 2157 nucleotides. It is a transcript of the gene named CD276 molecule, with no coding region annotated. NCBI's taxonomy places the organism in Eukaryota, Metazoa, Chordata, Actinopteri, Moronidae. The record is from RefSeq and is a predicted model, not a curated record. The transcript has 9 exons.
UAUGACAUCACUGCUGGACAAAGCAGCAAGGAGUGGUUUCUGUGAAGAGAAGCGCCCCAAAUCAAUGGCUCAUACCCAUACACUCUGAAAAAUCCCCCCUACAGCUUUAUCCACCGUCAAAAACAAAAGUGUGUGUGCGUCGGCAGCGGUUCUACUUGUGCUUUUUUUCAACAGGAAUGAACUACUCUGGAAAAUAACAUCGGCUGUGCUGCUGGUCAGAGAAGAGAGUCGCCGCCGCUGGAUGGUGGCUGCUUUUUAACUUUCGCCUUCCUAACAUGCACUGUGUCUGAAGAAGAAGUUGACCUGCAGUUUGAAUCCACUCUGGAAGACCAUGCUGUCCCUCCUGCUGCCCGCAAUGCUGGCCGUCCAAGCUAUGGCUUUGAUGGAAGUGCACGUCCCGGAGCAGCCAGUGGUGGCUCUCCAUGGAAGGGAUGCCACACUCAACUGCUCCUUCAGCCUUGCCACCCCCUUCAACCUGUCUGAUCUGACCAUCUUCUGGCAGCUGACAGACACCAAACGCAGUGUGCACGGGUACAGGGAGGGACACGACCAGCUGGCGGACCAGGCCGAGAGCUUCGCCAACCGGACCAGCCUGUUCCCCGCCCAGCUGGGCCUGGGCAACACUUCGCUCCUGUUGCGCAGGGUGGUGGUGGCUGACGAAGGCAGCUAUACCUGCUUCGUCAGGGUGCAGGACUACGGCAGUGCUGCUUUGCUGCUCCAGGUUGCCGCCCCCUACUCCAAGCCCAUAGUGACUUUGGAGCCCGAAUCAAAUCUGCGUCCAGGUGAUGAGGUAGCCCUGACUUGUGUGGCCUAUGGUGGUUAUCCUCAAGCUGACGUGGUAUGGCAGGAUGGGGGCGGGCGCAACCUGACGGACAAUAUCACCAAUUCAGUGGUGGCCAAUGAGGAAGGGCUGUUCACUAUGACCAGCGUGCUGACAGUUGUGCUGGAGCCCAAUAGCACCUACAGCUGCCGACUGAUCAAUCCACUACUAGGCGAGGAGAGCUACGCCUCUGUCACAAUCACAGGUCAGAACAUUGCGUUCCCCCCGGUGGCUCUGUGGGUAACUGUUGGCCUGGCCGUGUGUCUGCUGGUUUUGCUCAUUGCCUUGGCUGCUGUGUGCCGCAGGAAGAUCAAGGAGAGCUGCGAGGAAGCCAGGAGAGAAGCUGAAGAGGCCAAGGAGCUGGAAGAAGAGGAGUCAAAGACAGCCAUGACACUACUGAAAAGCUAAGGCCAAGAGAAUAAUGCAGUAAAGCUCUGGAGGACACAGUAUCUCUGGAGGCUCUGGGAGUCGGGGCCAGACGGCGGGUAGGAGAUGAGUCUGGCGGGUAAUCCCACUCCACCUAUCCAUCAACCUGGAGACUAUUUCCAGCGUCCCCUACAGAAUGUCAAAGCCUCGCUGAGCAGAAGAUGAGUCCAUCAUCUUCUUUCUAAGACUUUCCCUCGAGUUCCCAUCAAAACACAUAAACACAUCAUGUGCCAUUAUUUUCUAUUGCCCUCCCUCCCUUUCUGUCAAUGGAGGGCCGCGCGCAGUGAGCGAAUGCAGUUGAGUGGGUUGGGUUGUAUGCAGUAUGCAAAAGAGAAACUCUGUUUGAAAACUACAGGAUGUGACAGGAUCCUUUCUCUGUCGCUGACAUCACUCUGUAUGGGUUGUGAUGGGGCAUGUGCCAGAGAUCUCCUGUCUAAUAGGAAGUGAGACACUUAAAGAGAUGACCCUGCCUCAGUUGCCAUCACUGUCUCUCUGCCAGAGAGAGAGCUUGGCUCUCCCAUUACUCCUGCACUUGCUAAUUAGCGUCUAUCGCUGGAGUAACUUGUACCUGUCAGUGUGUGCCGCUCUCCUAUAUUCAGUAACUUGAGGGAAUUGAAAUUGAAUGCCAGCUAAGCUCCAACAAACUGCAAAUGGUGCAUGGGAUACACCCUGAUUUUCUCACUGACCUGACAGCCUUAUAUGUAAGAAAUUGUUUUUAAUGACCGCACACUAUCUGGGCUAGUUUCUACUGCUUGUGUGGAGCGUUACACGCUAGGGGGCUGUACAGGUUGUUUUACUGCAUAUUUUUAGGUACUUGACCAAGUCCUUGUGCCAUAUGUCCAUGUAUGAAUGCCAAAGCCAUUUGUGUCAGAUAACCCAGUGCCUAUUUACAUUAAAGAGACAUGGUGAAA